RNAcentral lists this ribosomal RNA (442 nucleotides) under uncultured bacterium. RNAcentral's name for it is "partial 16S ribosomal RNA". It matches the Rfam family "Bacterial small subunit ribosomal RNA", at positions 338 to 796 of the family's 1533-position model. The record is from RNAcentral.
CCUACGGGUGGCAGCAGUCGGGAAUAUUGCGCAAUGGAGGAAACUCUGACGCAGUGACGCCGCGUGCAGGAAGAAGGUUCUCGGAUUGUAAACUGCUUUAGACAGGGAAGAAACAAGACAGUACCUGUCAACUAAGCUCCGGCUAACUACGUGCCAGCCGCCGCGGUAAUACGUAGGGAGCACGCGUUAUCCGGAUUUAUUGGGUGUAAAGGGUGCGUAGACGGGAAGUCAAGUUGGUUGUGAAAUCCCGCGGCUGAACUGAGGAACUGCAACCAAAACUAACUUUCUUGAGUGCUGGAGAGGAAAGUGGAAUUCCUAGGGGAGCGGUGAAAUGCGUAGAUAUUAGGAGGAACACCAGUGGCGAAGGCGACGUUCUGGACAGUAACUGACGUUGAGGCACGAAAGUGUGGGGAGCAAACAGGAUUAGAUACCCGUGGAGUUC